CCCAAACCAAUAAAGUUUUCUUUAUUGGGGUUGCGGACAUAUCAUAACGAAGAGGUAUCGUAAUUGAAGAGGUUUGGAAAGACCCACCACAGAAGGUAAUAGUCCUGUAUGUUAAACGAGAAGACUUUAGAUAUGAUCCAGAGUACCACGGGACACGUGAAACCCUGUGGGAAGCAGGAGGGACCACCCUCCAAGGCUAAAUACUACCUAGUGACCGAUAGCGUAUAGUACCGUGAGGGAAAGGUGAAAAGAACC
Molecule: ribosomal RNA, 255 nt
Filed under: Clostridioides difficile
Lineage: Bacteria; Bacillati; Bacillota; Clostridia; Peptostreptococcales; Peptostreptococcaceae
Description: partial 23S ribosomal RNA
Rfam family: Bacterial large subunit ribosomal RNA
Source: RNAcentral